RNAcentral lists this ribosomal RNA (415 nucleotides) under Lygodactylus tuberosus. RNAcentral's name for it is "partial 16S ribosomal RNA". It matches the Rfam family "Bacterial large subunit ribosomal RNA", at positions 1994 to 2597 of the family's 2925-position model. The record is from RNAcentral. Lineage: Eukaryota; Metazoa; Chordata; Lepidosauria; Squamata; Gekkonidae.
GAAUGGUUUAAUGAGGGCACGACUGUCUCCUGCAGCUAGUCAAUGAAAUUGAUAAUUCAGUACAAAUGCUGAAAUAUUAACACAAGACGAGAAGACCCUGUGGAACUUUUAACUAACCUGCCAGCAGUAAUCAACCAACCAACCACCCCUAGCAGACAGUUUAAGUUGGGGCAACUACGGAGCACAAUAAAACCUCCAUGAAACACGAAUACCAUUCGUUACCAAGGCCCACACGCCAACACAUUAAGCUUGACCCAGUAAAACUGAAUUUCGAACCAAGCUACCCCAGGGAUAACAGCGCAAUCCCCUUCAAGAGUCCCUAUCGCCAAGGGGGCUUACGACCUCGAUGUUGGAUCAGGACACCCCGGCGGUGCAGCCGCUGCCAAAGGCUCGUUUGUUCAACGAAUAAUGUCCU